This 254-nucleotide ribosomal RNA is filed under the name uncultured bacterium. RNAcentral's name for it is "partial 16S ribosomal RNA". It matches the Rfam family "Bacterial small subunit ribosomal RNA", at positions 524 to 776 of the family's 1533-position model. The record is from RNAcentral.
UACGUAGGGUCCAAGCGUUAUCCGGAAUCACUGGGCGUAAAGGGUGCGUAGGCGGGUCUUUUAAGUCAGGGGUGAAAUCCUGGAGCUCAACUCCAGAACUGCCUUUGAUACUGAGGAUCUUGAGUUCGGGAGAGGUGAGUGGAACUGCGAGUGUAGAGGUGAAAUUCGUAGAUAUUCGCAAGAACACCAGUGGCGAAGGCGGCUCACUGGCCCGAUACUGACGCUGAGGCACGAAAGCGUGGGGAGCAAACAGG